UACGGAAGGCAGCAGUGGGGAAUAUUGCACAAUGGGCGAAAGCCUGAUGCAGCUAUGCCGCGUGUAUGAAGAAGGCCUUAGGGUUGUAAAGUACUUUCAUCGGGGAGGAAAAAACAAAACUAAUAAUUUUAUUUCUUGACGUUACCCGAAAAAGAAGCACCGGCUAACUCCGUGCCAGCAGCCGCGGUAAUACGGAGGGUGCUAGCGUUAAUCAGAAUUACUGGGCGUAAAGAGCACGUAGGUGGUUUUUUAAAGUCAGAUGUGAAAUCCCUGGGCUUAACCUAGGAACUGCAUUUUGAAACUGAAAUACUAGAGUAUCGUAGAGGGAGGUAGAAUUCUAGGUGUAGCGGUGAAAUGCGUAGAUAUCUGGAGGAAUACCUGUGGCGAAAGCGGCCUCCUAAACGAAUACUGACACUGAGGUGCGAAAGCGUGGGGAGCAAACAGGGAUUAGAUACC
This 456-nucleotide ribosomal RNA is filed under the name uncultured bacterium. RNAcentral describes it as "bacterial SSU rRNA". It matches the Rfam family "Bacterial small subunit ribosomal RNA", at positions 340 to 786 of the family's 1533-position model. The record is from RNAcentral.